RNAcentral lists this ribosomal RNA (465 nucleotides) under uncultured bacterium. Its description in RNAcentral is "partial 16S ribosomal RNA". It matches the Rfam family "Bacterial small subunit ribosomal RNA", at positions 338 to 795 of the family's 1533-position model. The record is from RNAcentral.
CCUACGGGGGGCAGCAGUAGGGAAUCUUCCACAAUGGGCGAAAGCCUGAUGGAGCAACGCCGCGUGGGUGAAGAAGGUCUUCGGAUCGUAAAACCCUGUUGUUAGAGAAGAAAGUGCGUGAGAGUAACUGUUCACGUUUCGACGGUAUCUAACCAGAAAGCCACGGCUAACUACGUACCAGCAGCCGCGGUAAUACGUAGGUGGCAAGCGUUAUCCGGAUUUAUUGGGCUGAAAGGGAACGCAGGCGGUCUUUUAAGUCUGAUGUGAAAGGCUUCGGCUUAACCGGAGUAGUGCAUUGGAAACUGGGAGACUUGAGUGCAGAAGAGGAGAGUGGAACUCCAGGUGUAGCGGUGAAAUGCGUAGAUAUAUGGAAGAACACCAGUGGCGAAAGCGGCUCUCUGGUCUGUAACUGACGCUGAGGUUCGAAAGCGUGGGUAGCAAACAGGAUUAGAUACCCCUGUAGUC